RNAcentral lists this ribosomal RNA (481 nucleotides) under uncultured bacterium. RNAcentral describes it as "bacterial SSU rRNA". It matches the Rfam family "Bacterial small subunit ribosomal RNA", at positions 27 to 507 of the family's 1533-position model. The record is from RNAcentral.
CGAACGAACGCUGGCGGCGUGGAUUAGGCAUGCAAGUCGAACGGAACUUCUAGCUUUUCGGAAGUUUAGUGGCGGAAGGGUGAGUAACACGUGGGUUACCUGCCCUAGGGCUCGGGAUAACCUGUCGAAAGACGGGCUAAUACCGGAUACGUCUCAUACUUUUCGAAGUAUGAGGGAAAGAUGGGGAUCCGUAAGGACCUAUCACCCUUGGAUGGGCCUGCGGCCUAUCAGCUAGUUGGUGAGGUAAUGGCUCACCAAGGCUAAGACGGGUAGCUGGUCUGAGAGGAUGGUCAGCCACACUGGGACUGAGACACUGCCCAGACACCUACGGGUGGCUGCAGUCGAGAAUCUUUCGCAAUGGGGGAAACCCUGACGACGCGACGCCGCGUGGAGGAUGAAGGUCUUCGGAUUGUAAACCGCUUUCAGCAGGGACGAAGGGUUUCUGACGGUACCUGCAGAAGAAGCACCGGCUAACUACGUG